Molecule: long non-coding RNA, 2902 nt
Organism: Esox lucius (northern pike)
Lineage: Eukaryota; Metazoa; Chordata; Actinopteri; Esociformes; Esocidae
Exons: 3
Source: RefSeq, a predicted model, not a curated record
UUAUGAAAUGUUUUUUAUUAAAAUAGAAUUUCAGUAAUGUAAUAAAAUAUACUUAAGGAAUAUUGUUUUAAUUUGACCACCACUGUGUGUUAAAUUACUACUUCAAUCUUACUUGGACUGUCAUUGCGGUAAUUAGUCUGUAGUGAAUUCCAAUUAAAGCCCAGCUUCAUAAUUUAGCACAUGAUCUUACCCCGGAACAAUUUACAGGCCAUGUGUUCCCCAGGUAAGCGGCUGCCCGAGAAAGACCCCGUCGUACAGAUGCCAGUGAACCUGUACCCCCAGCCCUGGGAAGCUACAGAGCUUGGGGGAGCAGCUGCACGUGCUCAGUUCUGCUCUAGAAGGCAUGACACCUGGCAGCUGACCCUGCCCGUUACUGCCAGGGCCCGGACAAGAAAGGAAGAGGGAACAAACUGGCCUCCAGGUACACAAAGUUCGACACAGACAAAGUCAGUGUUUUCAGUGGUAUAUUUGUUGUUGGUUGUCCCACACUCUUUUAGACAGCAAGCAUUCCACAAUCGGAAACACAGUCCGUGUUGUGUGUGUGUGUGUAUGUAUGUGUGUGUGUGUGUGUGUGUGUAGUGUAGCAUAUGUCUUAGCCUACCGUAUGUUGGUCCACCCCACUAUUCCCACAGAGCAUGUCGGCUGAAAAAGAAAGCUCAGCACGAGGCCAACAAAAUCAGACUAUGGGGCCUGAACCAGGAGUAUGAUGGCCUGUUGGGGGCGGUGCUGCAGAUAAAGGAGCUGAUCCGCCGAGAGUGGAGGCCAGAGAGGAAGACAGAGAGACAAGUGCCCUGAGAGAGAGACUGGAGGACAUUCUGAAGGAGUCUCCUGGGCCGCGUGUAGCCGGACGAGGCAAAGCGUUUGUGGAGAGGAUGCUGAAGAACCUGCGGGGAAGGAGCACCAGAGAGACUCCAAGAGGAGGAGGGCCAACCGACCCUAGCCGCUAACCUCUUCUCAGAGUCAUCGUCCCGCCCCAUUUAUGCUUCACUUUGCACUUUCUGACUUGGAACAGGUUUUUUAGACAGAACGUACAGACACACACACGUAGGAAGAAAGGAUGUGGAGCGAACAGUCCUUGUCAGGCUAAACACUUGAUUUCCAGCUGCUAGGGUAUAUUGAUGAGUGCCUCUGAACGUUCAACAUAUUGGUAUGUUUGUUUUGUGUGUGUGUGUGUGUGUGUGUGUGUGUGUGUAAGGGACUAUUCAUGAUUCCAGUGUAUCUAUUGCGUUAUGUACUGUACUAAACCCCAUUGUGCCUAAAGGAGGACACUGUGCUGACUAGCUAGCCUGUGCUAUACACUAUGUCUUGUUGGAGAACAGUUAGAAGAGUGACUGUAGAUAUGGUGCUUCUUACAGUGGAACAUGAUGGUUAAGCCAGUUUAGCUUGGCGUCUGAUUUGAAUUGUUCUGUAAACCAAAGGUGCCGGUGGGGGGCUUUGGGGUCGCGUGGCUGUUGCUCAAUGGUUCUCGAAUGUACUGAAAGCCUAGCUUGCAUGGUCAUUUUAUAUGAUGUAGUGUACAAGCCUGAAGAAGGUAAAAUGCUGUUAUGUCCAAUACUACAAAUCCUAUUUCUAAUUGUUAUCAUUACGUACUGUACUGCUCUACCAAUAAACCUAUUAUGAGAGGAUACAUAUAAACCUUAAGCCAGGAUGGAAAUACAUUUAAUUGUUUCAACUUUUUCCCACGUACUACGAAAUUUGGUCAACCGUAGUUCAUAAAAGUGGUGAUAUGCUUUUCCCAUUUGGAUCUAAAUUAAUAGGAUUAAAUGAAUGGGGGGAACUGAUCCCAAAUCAGCACUUCUACUCUGAGGCUCUUUUUGAAAAAGGGAACAGACUCUCUCUAAUGGUGUGCUAUUAUUGAUUGCACAAGUUCCACUCAGAGAAGAGACACCUGUGGACGCUGCUGUACCGUGAAUUCCAGAGUUGUCCCAUCUCCUUCCUAAAUCCAUGUUUAUCCCUGAGUUCCAGAGUUGUGCAUCUUGUCCUAAAUCCAUAUUGACCCCUGAGUUCCAGAGUUGUCCGUCUCCUUCCUAAAUCCAUGUUUAUAUAACAUCUGUUGAUUGGAUCUCUCUCUGUAUCUUUGGUGCUUUGUAUAGCCUGUGCCUUUGAAAGUUCGUGGAGAGCAAAUAGUAACAUGAACACCACCACAUGUCUGUCUCUCCAUGUCCUAUUGAGAAUAUAUAAAACACCACCAUGUUAAUGGUAACAAAAAAAAAGGAAAGUAAGGAGAAGUGUAGCCGUUUGAUGGUAGUCCCCAUUACUCCAGAGCCUUUAAUCAUAAAGCUGAUCUUGGUGAAAAAAGGUCAGAAAGGUUUAUGGAUAUGGACAUAAAGCAUUCCUGCACUUGUAUUGCUUUCAUGAAGCCCAGCAAGAAAUACAAUGUCUCGCUGUAGCUUUACUCUUUACCCUAGUGGUCAGGAACAGCCCUGCCACAGAUCUUGCAUUAUCCUGAAUGAACUUGUUCAUAUCCUCAAUUAAUAGUAAACAAUUAUUAUGAAAUUACUGUCUUAACAUGCAUGCAAAAAUACAUGAAAAUAGGUUCUUAAAAACAUCACCAUACAGGAAGCAUAGAGGAUAAAUUGUGAAUGUUACACACUAAACAGUGUACUGUAAAAUGUGAUCAGUGAACAUGUUGAAAGUUGUUUCAGAAAGUUGUGCGUUGUCCAUUUAUCUACUGGGAGAGUUUUUUGCCACGUCUUAAUAAAGCCUUAAGCCUAUUCCCUUGCAGUAGUUAUUAUUUAUAAGACAAGGAUAACGUGUUAUAAAAACCUUUAGGAACAUGUAUGAAUCAUUAAUUUACUUAGUGAAUGUGCAUGAAAAAGAUGAACACAUUUUGGUGUCAUAGAAAUAGAAAAUGUUUUGUUUUGUUCGAUCUGUGUAAAUGUGUUUUCACUAUCUUGAAGCU